GUCGCUCGGUGGAUAGAGCAGCCCCGCAUACGCUGAGGUGUUGCGGGGUUGGUCGCAGGUUCGAUUCCUGCCGGGGGUACCA
Molecule: transfer RNA, 82 nt
Filed under: Candidatus Peribacteraceae bacterium
Lineage: Bacteria; Candidatus Peregrinibacteriota; Candidatus Peribacteria; Candidatus Peribacterales
Description: tRNA-OTHER
Rfam family: tRNA
About the family: Transfer RNA (tRNA) molecules are approximately 80 nucleotides in length. Their secondary structure includes four short double-helical elements and three loops (D, anti-codon, and T loops).
Source: RNAcentral